UUCAUGGAGAGUUUGAUCCUGGCUCAGGACGAACGCUGGCGGCGUGCCUAAUACAUGCAAGUCGAGCGGACCGACGGGAGCUUGCUCCCUUAGGUCAGCGGCGGACGGGUGAGUAACACGUGGGUAACCUGCCUGUAAGACUGGGAUAACUCCGGGAAACCGGGGCUAAUACCGGAUGCUUGAUUGAACCGCAUGGUUCAAUCAUAAAAGGUGGCUUUUAGCUACCACUUACAGAUGGACCCGCGGCGCAUUAGCUAGUUGGUGAGGUAACGGCUCACCAAGGCGACGAUGCGUAGCCGACCUGAGAGGGUGAUCGGCCACACUGGGACUGAGACACGGCCCAGACUCCUACGGGAGGCAGCAGUAGGGAAUCUUCCGCAAUGGACGAAAGUCUGACGGAGCAACGCCGCGUGAGUGAUGAAGGUUUUCGGAUCGUAAAAACUCUGUUGUUAGGGAAGAACAAGUACCGUUCGAAUAGGGCGGUACCUUGACGGUACCUAACCAGAAAGCCACGGCUAACUACGUGCCAGCAGCCGCGGUAAUACGUAGGUGGCAAGCGUUGUCCGGAAUUAUUGGGCGUAAAGCGCGCGCAGGCGGUUUCUUAAGUCUGAUGUGAAAGCCCCCGGCUCAACCGGGGAGGGUCAUUGGAAACUGGGGAACUUGAGUGCAGAAGAGGAGAGUGGAAUUCCACGUGUAGCGGUGAAAUGCGUAGAGAUGUGGAGGAACACCAGUGGCGAAGGCGACUCUCUGGUCUGCAACUGACGCUGAGGCGCGAAAGCGUGGGGAGCGAACAGGAUUAGAUACCCUGGUAGUCCACGCCGUAAACGAUGAGUGCUAAGUGUUAGAGGGUUUCCGCCCUUUAGUGCUGCAGCAAACGCAUUAAGCACUCCGCCUGGGGAGUACGGUCGCAAGACUGAAACUCAAAGGAAUUGACGGGGGCCCGCACAAGCGGUGGAGCAUGUGGUUUAAUUCGAAGCAACGCGAAGAACCUUACCAGGUCUUGACAUCCUUUGACAACCCUAGAGAUAGGGCUUCCCCUUCGGGGGCAGAGUGACAGGUGGUGCAUGGUUGUCGUCAGCUCGUGUCGUGAGAUGUUGGGUUAAGUCCCGCAACGAGCGCAACCCUUGAUCUUAGUUGCCAGCAUUCAGUUGGGCACUCUAAGGUGACUGCCGGUGACAAACCGGAGGAAGGUGGGGAUGACGUCAAAUCAUCAUGCCCCUUAUGACCUGGGCUACACACGUGCUACAAUGGGCAGAACAAAGGGCAGCGAAGCCGCGAGGCUAAGCCAAUCCCACAAAUCUGUUCUCAGUUCGGAUCGCAGUCUGCAACUCGACUGCGUGAAGCUGGAAUCGCUAGUAAUCGCGGAUCAGCAUGCCGCGGUGAAUACGUUCCCGGGCCUUGUACACACCGCCCGUCACACCACGAGAGUUUGUAACACCCGAAGUCGGUGAGGUAACCUUUUGGAGCCAGCCGCCGAAGGUGGGACAGAUGAUUGGGGUGAAGUCGUAACAAGGUAGCCGUAUCGGAAGGUGCGGCUGGAUCACCUCCUUU
RNAcentral lists this ribosomal RNA (1551 nucleotides) under Bacillus licheniformis. Its description in RNAcentral is "bacterial SSU rRNA". It matches the Rfam family "Bacterial small subunit ribosomal RNA". Lineage: Bacteria; Bacillati; Bacillota; Bacilli; Caryophanales; Bacillaceae. The record is from RNAcentral.